This 408-nucleotide ribosomal RNA is filed under the name Synallactes sp. AKM-2016. Its description in RNAcentral is "partial 12S ribosomal RNA". The record is from RNAcentral. Lineage: Eukaryota; Metazoa; Echinodermata; Holothuroidea; Aspidochirotida; Synallactidae.
UUGAGGAGGGUGACGGGCGGUGUGUGCGCAUUUUAGAGCUUUUUUCAUAUAAUUCCUCUAUAGCUUAUAUUACUAUCAAAUCCUUUUUCUUUUGUUUUUUCAAUUCAAAUUCCUCUAUUAUUAAGUAUGGUAGCUCAUCUAUCCCCAUUCCAUUGGCUGCACCUUGAUCUGACGUUGAGGUUGUUUACCUUUUAGAUCACUUUCUUUGUCGAGGUGAACUGACGACGAUGGUAUACAGACUGGUGAUGUACUAGGAUUGGUGAGGUUCCUUGUGGGUUAUCAAUUUGAUGACAAGCUCCUCUGAGUAGGUCUAAAAAACCGCCAAGUUCUUUAAGUUUUAGCUUUUGGCCGUACUUCUCUGGUGUUUAAGUUUUUACUAAUAGGUAUAGUGGGGUAUCUAAUCCCAGA